This 253-nucleotide ribosomal RNA is filed under the name uncultured bacterium. RNAcentral's name for it is "partial 16S ribosomal RNA". It matches the Rfam family "Bacterial small subunit ribosomal RNA", at positions 524 to 776 of the family's 1533-position model. The record is from RNAcentral.
UACGUAGGGUGCAAGCGUUAAUCGGAAUUAUUGGGCGUACAGGGCGUGUAGGCGGAUCUGCAAGUCGAAUGUGAAAGCCCCGGGCUCAACCCGGGAACAGCAUUCGAAACUGCCGAUCUAGAGGGUGGGCGGAGAAAACGGAAUUCCACAAGUAGCGGUGAAAUGCGUAGAUAUGCGGAAGAACACCUGUGGCGAAAGCGGUUUUCUAGCUUAAACCUGACGCUGAGGCGCGAAAGCAAGGGGAUCAAACAGG